GGCAAAACUAUUUGAUUUAUCAAGUAAAACACACACCAAGAUAAAAAGAAAAAUGAAGUAAAACUUUGUUGACUCUCUCAUGAAAACAUCACAUACAGGCAUUGAAAAUAACCCCUCUUGUAUAUAUAUAUAUAUGUUUGACCUCUGCACCUGAUUCAGGCCAGAAAGCCGACUCUCGAUGUUGUAUUGCAAACUCACACGAAAAUGAAAGCUUUUAUGGAAGGAACUCAUGCUUUUCCAUUUUCAAUCACCCCUUUAAUCUUCUCAUGAUCUUCCAUGUGGCUGAAGUUACCUCGUUGCUUGAAGAGUUGCGUAUGAUGGUGCCUACAAUAGAGUUUAUGAUCAUGUGCCACAUAAUUCGAUGGACUGAUUACACAACCCCCGUGGCUACAUUUGAAACAAGGCCUGUGGUACGAAGUGCCAUCAACAGCUACCUUUUCCAGGGGGUAGACGGUUUUCUUGCACGCAACACAUUUAUCUUGAGUUCCACCAAACAAAGCUGAAACUUUGUUGUUUGCUUGUGCCUUAUCAAGAGAUCUUUCCUUGACUGUUCUUGGACCCCCUUCAAAACUCUUGUUCAGGCUUCCAGUCAUUUUAAAUAGUUGAUCAAAGUGAGGUCUGCAGUAUAAGACUCCUUCAUAGGAAUUGUAGUUACCUAGCUUAAGAGUACCCUUGCAAUGAUUGCAUCUGAAACAAGCCUUGUGAUAGACUCUGCUGUCAGCCUUAAGUUGAUCCACCAAGUAGACAGUUUUCUCACAGGCCUUACACUUCUGUGUUGUCCCUCCAAAAGUUGCCAUUCCUUUUUCUUUUUCUGCAGAUAGAUCGAUCGAUCGAUUCAAUAAAGAAUAAACAGAUGCAAACAGUCUCUAAUUAAGUCUUUGAAGUUGAAAAUUUGGGUAAUUUAGAGGUCAGAGAAGAAGUGCGGGCGUGUUGAAGUA
RNAcentral lists this unclassified non-coding RNA (938 nucleotides) under Hevea brasiliensis (rubber tree). The record is from RNAcentral. Lineage: Eukaryota; Viridiplantae; Streptophyta; Magnoliopsida; Malpighiales; Euphorbiaceae.